ACAUACUAAGUGAUCACUUUCAAAUUCAGAGAAACCCUGGAAUUACAAAUGGGCAAUCCUGAGCCAAAUCCUGUUUUCAAAAAAAAAAAAUAAUUCAAUCAAAAGAAUCAAAAAAGGAUAGGUGCAGAGACUCAAUGGAAGCUGUUCUAAAAAAUGGAGUUGACUGCUGCAUUAAGUUAGUCAAGGAAUCCUUGCAUCAAAACUUUCAAAAAGAUGAAGGAUAACCUUUCUUUCUACUUUCUAUAAACUAUAAAAAGAAAAAGACUUUUUGAAUCAAAUCAAUUGGAAGUUGAAGAAAGAAUCAAAUAUGAUUUGAUCAAAUCAUUUACUCCAAAGUCUGAUAUAUCUUUUUCCAAAUGGAUUAGUCAGAUGAGAAUAAAGAUAGAGUCCCAUUCUAUAUGUCAGUA
Molecule: transfer RNA, 407 nt
Filed under: Zygophyllum subtrijugum
Lineage: Eukaryota; Viridiplantae; Streptophyta; Magnoliopsida; Zygophyllales; Zygophyllaceae
Description: partial tRNA-Leu
Rfam family: Group I catalytic intron (bases 1-194)
Source: RNAcentral